CUAUACAUGCAGUCGAGCGAAUCGAUGGGAGCUUGCUCCCUGAGAUUAGCGGCGGACGGGUGAGUAACACGUGGGCAACCUGCCUAUAAGACUGGGAUAACUUCGGGAAACCGGAGCUAAUACCGGAUACGUUCUUUUCUCGCAUGAGAGAAGAUGGAAAGACGGUUUACGCUGUCACUUAUAGAUGGGCCCGCGGCGCAUUAGCUAGUUGGUGAGGUAAUGGCUCACCAAGGCGACGAUGCGUAGCCGACCUGAGAGGGUGAUCGGCCACACUGGGACUGAGACACGGCCCAGACUCCUACGGGAGGCAGCAGUAGGGAAUCUUCCGCAAUGGACGAAAGUCUGACGGAGCAACGCCGCGUGAACGAAGAAGGCCUUCGGGUCGUAAAGUUCUGUUGUUAGGGAAGAACAAGUACCAGAGUAACUGCUGGUACCUUGACGGUACCUAACCAGAAAGCCACGGCUAACUACGUGCCAGCAGCCGCGGUAAUACGUAGGUGGCAAGCGUUGUCCGGAAUUAUUGGGCGUAAAGCGCGCGCAGGUGGUUCCUUAAGUCUGAUGUGAAAGCCCACGGCUCAACCGUGGAGGGUCAUUGGAAACUGGGGAACUUGAGUGCAGAAGAGGAAAGUGGAAUUCCAAGUGUAGCGGUGAAAUGCGUAGAGAUUUGGAGGAACACCAGUGGCGAAGGCGACUUUCUGGUCUGUAACUGACACUGAGGCGCGAAAGCGUGGGGAGCAAACAGGAUUAGAUACCCUGGUAGUCCACGCCGUAAACGAUGAGUGCUAAGUGUUAGAGGGUUUCCGCCCUUUAGUGCUGCAGCUAACGCAUUAAGCACUCCGCCUGGGGAGUACGGCCGCAAGGCUGAACUCAAAGGAAUUUGACGGGGGGCCCCGCACAAGCGGUGGAGCAUGGUGGUUUUAAUUUCGAAGCAACGCGAAGAACCUUUACCAGGUCUUGACAUCCUCUGACAACCCUAGAGAUAGGGCUUUCCCCUUCGGGGGACAGAGUGACAGGUGGUGCAUGGUUGUCGUCAGCUCGUGUCGUGAGAUGUUGGGUUAAGUCCCGCAACGAGCGCAACCCUUGAUCUUAGUUGCCAGCAUUCAGUUGGGCACUCUAAGGUGACUGCCGGUGACAAACCGGAGGAAGGUGGGGAUGACGUCAAAUCAUCAUGCCCCUUAUGACCUGGGCUACACACGUGCUACAAUGGAUGGUACAAAGGGCUGCAAACCUGCGAAGGUAAGCGAAUCCCAUAAAGCCAUUCUCAGUUCGGAUUGCAGGCUGCAACUCGCCUGCAUGAAGCCGGAAUCGCUAGUAAUCGCGGAUCAGCAUGCCGCGGUGAAUACGUUCCCGGGCCUUGUACACACCGCCCGUCACACCACGAGAGUUUGUAACACCCGAAGUCGGUGAGGUAACCUUCAUGGAGCCAGCCGCCUAAGGUGGGACAGAUGAUUGGGGUGAAGUCGUAACAAGUAGC
RNAcentral lists this ribosomal RNA (1474 nucleotides) under Peribacillus frigoritolerans. Its description in RNAcentral is "bacterial SSU rRNA". It matches the Rfam family "Bacterial small subunit ribosomal RNA". Lineage: Bacteria; Bacillati; Bacillota; Bacilli; Caryophanales; Bacillaceae. The record is from RNAcentral.